UAUGGAUUUUUCUACUUUUUUUCUUUUUUUUUUGCAAGAAAAGAUGGUAGACGAUUACAUCGGUGUCUUUUGAGAAGCGAAGUAGGGAGCGGCACGAUUCAUCGACUAUUUCUGAAUACUUACGACUGCAAGAAGGCUCUUAGAAAAAAGUCGUUUGCAUAUUUUUUCACUUAGGCGACUUCAUCAAGCGGUGGUCAUUAAGCGGUGCAAUUUUAUCGCCUAGCAGGAGACGCAUGCAACGCGAGAAGACACGCCGUACACGGGAAAUCACAGUGUUUGAAUUAAUCGACCAUAUCGUGCCAGUCUAUCGUUCCAUUUUCUCAAUCAGGAAAAUCGAUAUCUUUUUUUUAAUUCUUAUUACCUUCCGCUAAAAAAUUUCACAAAAGUUACAUGUAAUAAGUACAAUUGAAAAAUAAAUAACAAAUUAGGAACGUAGUAAAAUCCUCAUUAAUCUUAUUCAAUUUCGACAUGACAUAUAUAUACGUAUUAAUAUAUAUAUAUGUAUUGAUCUUUACCCUUGAAUCUCUAAAAUCUAAUAUUAAUGAUCGAUAGAAAAAACGAAUCGACCUUUCUGGAAAAUACGCAGAAACACAAAACGCCUGGACAAACGAUCGAGGCAGAAAUUUCCUUCAUUAUUAUCUCUUACGCCACGAGUAAAAAGAUACUUCAAAGCACGAGAUUUCUACGUAUUACACCGACUAAUAACGCGUUUGUGCGUCGAUGCGCGAUUGCCAGCGAUUAGCAAGAUCGAUCGUGUAAUUUCACGAUCAAUGACGUAACCACGAUUACUCAACGUCCAUGACGAGUGUGUGUUUAGAACGUGAAUGUGGAUCAAAGUCACCAGCAGCGGCGGCGGCUAAGUAGUCCAUGAACUUCCUCGCGGCUCGACUCGUGAAUGGAAUUCGAGAAAAAAAUAUGGCAGCGUUGACAGAACGCCUGAAAGAAAAGAAAAAGGGAACCGAAGGGAAACGUGAUCAUUUGACUGAAGAGAGAGAAAGAGAGAACUAAAGGAGUUGGAGAUUAGAAUAAGGAUGGAGAAGGAAACGUUUAAAAUUGGUAAGAUCGAAGAUGUGGAAUAUAAUUUUGUAGAUUAAAUUCGUAAUAUUUCUAUAUUUAUCUCGUUUCAAAUUUCUACGCCUCGAGUAAGUAGAAUUCGUGAGAAUUUAAAUCUCGGUUAUUUAAAGAGCGGGUAGAAUUGGCGAUAUUCCAUUUCGCAUUCGAAUCUACACGGAGCGAGAAUGACGAGGUGAGAAACGGUCGAGAUAACGCGGCAAAGAAAAAUCUGUUUCCAAGUAAAAUUCCACUUGCAACUUGUCGUUCAUUCAGAGUGAUGUCUAAUUAAACGAGAGGGUUCUCGGGGCGCACGGUUGAACGCGAUUCCGAGUGUUUUCUCCUUCGAGACAAGAAACGUUCCAUUGCGGUAACCUCGUGGAUACGCGUUUAGAACGACGUCGCACAAAGUAUCCGGCAAAGUAUCGGGGCAAAAACUAUAAUUGCUGCGUUAUCCGCUAUAAUAAUGUUUAAUCGUCAGAGAAGGGCAACCCGUGGCAAUCUCUGUCGUACACUUUACGCGAUAUUAAUUUUCGAUUAACCUGUUCCACCAUCCUUCUCCCUGCUGCGAUCAUCCUACGCGCCACUCGAUCUUUCGUCCACUCUAACGAGUCGUUCUCUUUCCUUCGAGAAAUUAACAUCCGUAUAUAUAUAUAUAUAUAUAUCGACCAAUAUCUCCUUUUACUUUUACUUUGUUUUUCUUCCACCUUGGAAGUUGUAAAAAAAAGAAAACAUAUCGUCAACAAGAGAGAAAGCUUUGCAUAAUGAACGAUCUGAAGAAAAUUGUGUCUAUCUCGUAUAUCGCGAAUGUUAGGAUUUUUAAAAUCUUCUCUUCUUCGCUCCCUUCACCACCCUUUAAAACUAUUUUCCUAAAGAGAAAUCUGUAUCGAAAGGUUUCAUCACACCUGUACUGUGUUGUCGCAGGCAAAAAGCGGCGCGACUAAAAAGCAGCGCGCUCACUUAGCAAACUCUUUAUCGAAAGAAUCUUUCUCACGGUUCAGUUGAAACGAUAAUUCUCUCGGACUUGGAUGAAUUUCAUGGGGGGAUAGACGGAUAGAUCCGAUCCAGGGGGAACGCCUACGAUCGAACGAGCCGAUUCACGGGGCCCCGAUGUUCCGGUUAACGAUCAUUGGACGCGAUACAAAUAAAAUUUGCGAUGGUGAGCGGAUUUUCUUCGACCAAGCCGGAAGACAAUCCGAUCCUCGGAGUAAAAUUGCUUCUUCCUUUCAUGGUGUUCGUUCUAUUCUCGAUCGAGGUCGAUUAUCCUCGUACACGAGGAGUGGCGUGUAACGAGAAUGACGAGGUAAUUGCUGAUUAACGAGCGUCGAUAACGAGAAUCGAAGGUGCAACAGGAACCGGGCAAAUCUCGCGGUGAUAAUAACGUUUCACGUGGUGAGAAACUUUUCCUUUUCGAGAUGGAAAUCCUUUGUUUCCCCGUGCAAAUAAAACUCCAGAUUUUCGCGCCUUCUUCCUCCUCUCCUAUGCGAUAUCCUCGUUGGAUCGAAAAAAAUAAAAAUGGAUCCUUUAUUAAAAAGUCAUUUAUUCGAAUGAUUGGAAUCUUGAUUGAAUCGAAAGGAGAAUAACGAUAUCGAUUUUGCGAUCAGACGAGAAGAAGUUUAUCUUUUCGAAAAGCUGGAUCCUUUGUUUAUAUUUAGAAAUAAAAAUUUGCACGUUUCGACGAAUGUUAUUCCGAAAGAAGAAUAAAUAGCAGGAACAAUUGUGAUUAAAAGCAAAGGAAUCGACGAUUCUUGAAAGAUAUAAAUUUUAAUAAUGGUACAGAUUCUGAAUAAAAGGAAGAAGGAGAGAUCUGUGAUAAUUUGGAAUAAAAGGGAGGAAAACGGUAGUCCCGAGGCGAGUUAAAGCGGGUCUAACUGCGAUCCCGAUUUUCCUUUUCUCUUCGAAAAAGAUUUCCAAAAGUGCAAAAAUGAGUUUCAAGAAUUUAUAAUGGAAACAAGCACGUUUCAAGAGUCAAGCAAAGGGAGCAAAAAAUUAGAAUCAUAAAUUUUAAAAAGGGGUAAAAGCCAGUAUGAUGUAAGAGCGAAAAAAAAGUGAAGAAGAUCAGGGAGGUGUACGGAGCCCGGUUCACCGACAACAAUGAGGAUUAUGAGCGAUAAUGACGAAUAUUUAUGAGUUUACGAUCUGAUGACUUUACGACUCGAGAUUUUACCACUUACACGCGAAGGACGUCCCAUUUCGAGAGAAAAUGGCCCUGACGUCCCGUCUGUCACGUGCUGCUUACCUACAACCGGAGCAUCUUGUUCCCUCUCGUAGACGUCAGAGAGAGGAUAGAAAAUCCAAAUCUUUUUCUAUCUAAAUAUCAGAUAUGAGAUAUUCUUUUAUUUUCUUUUUAAUGUUAUUUGAAUUCGGAGCAAUUCCAAAUUGCAAUCAAAAUUAAUAUCCAAUUCGUUACGAUGGAAAAUUGUUUCCCCAAAUUAAUUUCUUCAACUUCUUUCGUUGCAUUUUGUUGUUGUUUCUAAAGAAGAAAUUCAUCGUGUAAUUCAUUAAUUAAUAUCACGGUGAUCGCGGCUUUAUAAAAGGUUUUUCGAAUCGAAUAGCCAAACCAAUAGUAAAAAGAUUUCAUCGAAUCGAUGGCGCGAAACGAAUCCGAGAACACGAUGUAUUUCGAAACUUCUCGUUCUUUAUUUUGACUACGUUAAAAAUAAACGAAAAAUAUAAUUUCUCGCGUCGAUUUAUCGAUUUGUGCUAUUUUAAUUUCUCAUCGUUAUUUCAAACAAAAUAUCCUCCACUUUGAACACUCGCUUCACAGCCAAGCGAUAUAAAUCUCGAGUGAAUUCCACGAAAUUUAUCCAUCCAACGUACAAAAGAUCCAAUUUUAACGCAAUAAAAAUCAUCGACUCGUACUACUUAAAAUUCUCUUUGAACUAUUUGGAACAAAAUUAAAAAUCCUUUAAAUGAAACACCUUUAAUAAGGUGUUUUGUUUCACAGCCAAGCAAUAUAUGAAUUAUAUCUCGAGUGAAUUCCACGAAAUUUAUCUCCAUCGAUUGGAAACAUCCAAUUUUAACAUUAAUAAAAUUAUCGACUCGUGCUACUUAAAAUUCCCUUUGAACUAUUUGGAACAAAAUUAAAAAUCUUUUAAACGAAACACCUUUAAAAACAACUUGCUUCACAGUCGAGCAAUAUAAAUUCGGAUGAAUUCCAUAGAUUCAAUAUUUAAAAAAUUCAAUUUUACAUAACAAAAUCAUUAUUUAAAAUCCUCUUCGAACUAUUUGGAACAAAAUUAAAAAUCCUUAAAAAGGAAAUACCUUUAACAACUUGCUUCACAAGUAAUAUAAAUUACAAUUCUCGAAUGAAUUCCAUCGAUUCAACACCCAAAAAAUUCAAUUUUAACGAAAUCGUUGGUCUCGCGCUACUUAAAAUCCCCUUCGACCUAUUUGAAACGAAAUUGAACGUUGCUCCAGUUUAAAGAUAAACGAAACUUCAUCAAAACACCUUUAACGACUUGCUUCACAGCCAACCAAUAAUAAAUUACAUCUCGAAUGAAUUCCGCGAAAUUUAUCUAUCUCCAUCGAGGUCCAACAUCCGUAAGCUCCAAUUUUAACGCGAAUAAUCUACGUCAUAACUCUUCCACGUGACUAGGCUUCGCGUAAUGGUUUUGCGAGCGAGCCAGCCACGAGGAAUUUAGGAAAUAGGCCUGCAAGCUCUCCCGAUUAUCGACGAGGUCGGACUUCUCGUAAUAACGUAAUAAUGCGUUAAAAGGCGUCGAAUUUCUCAAGCUUUGAAUGAUCAGAGUCGUAUAUCAGGAAUGAUGAGUUUACUGUCAGCCUAGUAUAACCAUUAUGCCUUCGUCCUUCUUAGCGAAUUGUUUUCGCACAAUAUCCGAUUCGAAUCAGAUUUACGAUUGGACCUGGAACAACCGACCUGCUCAACGAAGUGACAGCGCUUCCUUCCUCCCUCGCUUUCCGUUUCGUCUCGAUCUUGCGAGAGGAAAACGUUUGCACGUUUCACUGGCGUAGAAAUCUUGAGGAUGUUCGACAAUUAGGAUUGGAAUUUGGUGGAAAAUUUUGGUGGCGAGAAGAAUAAAAUUGGAUGAUGCGGAAUUAAAGCCGUGAAGAGAGAAGAGGAAAGAAACGUCGAAGAUAUCGUCGUUUGGUGGAAAGGAAUAAUAAAAAGAGAAAAAUUGAAUUCUGUCGCAAUUAGAAGUCGAUGGAAAAUUUCGUGAUGAGAGGACUAAAAUGGGACGAUGCGGAAUUAGAACCGUGAAGAGAGAAGAGGAAAGAAACGUCGAAGAUAUCGUCAUUUGGUGAAAAGGAAUGAUAAAAAGAGAAAAAUUGAAUUCUGUCGCAAUUAGAAGUCGAUGGAAAAUUUCGUGUUGAAAGGACUAAAAUGGGAUGAUGCGGAAUUAGAACCGUGAAGAAAGAAAAGGAAAGAAACGUUGAAGAUAUUCGUCGAUUGGGAUUAACGUUUGGUGGAAAGGGAUGAAAUUUUGAUGGAAAAUUUCGUGGCGAGAGGAAUAAAAUUAGAUGAUGCGGAAUUAGAGCCAUGAAGAGAGAAGAGAAAUGUUGAAGAUAUUCGUCGAUUAACGUUCGGGGAGGGAUGGAUACGAGAAAAAUUAAAUUUUGUUACAGGGAUGCGAGAAUAGAAUUAUAAAAGCAACAAUGAUUUUUCAUAAAAGAAGAAAAUAAUUGUCGAUGGAAUACUUUGAAAAUUAGAACUGGAGAGGAUUGAUCGAGGGUAAUAUUCGAAAGGGUUCUUGCUAUAUAAAUAACAUAUUUUAAAGGGAUGGUUUCUUCGAAAGAAUCUUAAGAAAUUCUUUGAAACCUGACGAGGACUACAAAGGAAUCGAUCGAAAAAUUCAAAUAUCCUUUACAAAAUUGUUUCCGAAACAAUUUUGUUACGCCAUUGCGCGAUGAAAGAGGAAGACUUGAAUAAUUUUCUAAACGAUCGGUCCGUGACGGGAAGUGUAACCAAAAGUAAGGCUUUAACGCGGUCUGCUCUUGCCUUCUACCAACAAAGUUCCAGGAGCUUGAACCGAGUUGAGAAAUUUUCCGUGUUACAAGACAUCCUGCUGGCCGGCCGUCAACAUCCUUGACGGGGUUGCUUUCAGCAUGUCCUGGUGGGAGCCGGGAAAAAAGCGAAGGGCCGCUGCUGUGAUGUUGAUACGACCAAAGUUUCCUCUUCAUCUUCUUUAUCGAAACGGUAAACUGUUUCCACCGAUCGAUCAAGUUUCCCUUCAAAUAGAAUUUAUCUCAUUUACAUCAAAAAAAAAAAAAAAAAACGAAGAA
Apis cerana (Asiatic honeybee) is the source of this 6294-nucleotide long non-coding RNA. RefSeq lists it as uncharacterized. The record is from RefSeq and is a predicted model, not a curated record. Lineage: Eukaryota; Metazoa; Arthropoda; Insecta; Hymenoptera; Apidae.